CUCUUAUCAAGAGAGGCAGAGGGACUGGCCCUGCGAAGCCUCAGCAACCACUGGUCUAUUCCAGAAAGGUGCUAACUCCAGCAAGUUGUUUAGACAACUUGGAAGAUAAGAA
RNAcentral lists this non-coding RNA (112 nucleotides) under Halobacillus karajensis. RNAcentral describes it as "SAM-I sequence". It matches the Rfam family "SAM riboswitch aptamer (S box leader)". From Rfam's summary of the family: The SAM riboswitch is found upstream of a number of genes which code for proteins involved in methionine or cysteine biosynthesis in Gram-positive bacteria. The SAM riboswitch acts at the level of transcription termination control. The predicted structure consists of a complex stem-loop region followed by a single stem loop terminator region. Lineage: Bacteria; Bacillati; Bacillota; Bacilli; Caryophanales; Bacillaceae. The record is from Rfam by way of RNAcentral.